This is a long non-coding RNA of Cyprinus carpio carpio, 959 nucleotides long. NCBI's taxonomy places the organism in Eukaryota, Metazoa, Chordata, Actinopteri, Cypriniformes, Cyprinidae. The record is from Ensembl.
CACGGCUCUACUUAAAUACGGACUAGAGGUUUUUCUGAAAUAUAUCAUGUAAAAAGAGAUUUCUCUUAAGAGCUUAAUUGAAGUCUGUAUGGAUUUGACGUUUUGUCUGUCUGAUGUUUAACACGCAUCAUUCUGCUUUUGCCUCAGACUGACGGUGAUCCUGAUAACCCCACAGUUCUGAAUAGUCCAGCACCUUCACUCUUCUGCAGUUUUUGAAGAAAGGACAAAAAGUUAUUGAGGUGAGACAGGAAGAAUGGGGCUGGCUCAUAGUCUGCUCUCAAACCUUCAUUACUUGCUCCUUCACUGCAGAUACGAACUGACAGUAUCCCUCCUUUCUACACGCCCUUUCCGCUGACCUUUCCUGUCUGCUUUUCUCGGUUGCAGGCAGGAGUGAUGAAGCCUCUCAGUGCUUAGGCCAGUAUGACUAAGACAGUACAAGAUUACCUGUGACAUGGGCAGGGGAACAGAGGCACUAGAGUGUUUGUUCAGUGACACGGGCAUGCUGCAGUGCAUUGUGGGGCCGGAGUCGAUGCAUGUUCCAAUGAACUGCCUCAUUCAUCUCGAUAUGACCACUCUGUGGUCUCUCUCUCUCCCUAAUGGGUAGGAACAGCUGUGUAAAAGAGCACCUCUCACUAACAUCAGCCAUUAUUUCAUUACCCUGUAUGUUGAAGUGUGCAGAGAGCCGAAGUACGUUAAUGAAGACAGCACCAUGUCAACACGGAUUGGAUGUGGCAUUUAUUACAGAUAUUACAGCCUCAAUCAUCCUGAUGCAUUACACACACGAUUGUGUGAAAUGUUGAAAGUGAGCAUGGGUUUUUAUAUUGAUUGACUUUAUUUCAUGUUAUAUAGACGGGAAAAUUCCCACCAGCUUGUUGUUUCACAGUAGAAAUGUUUUUGACGCUUCUUUGGAGAUUGGAAAAUAGCUCUUGGAUUUGCAGAGAUGUCUCUGAAUAAAUGAC